RNAcentral lists this ribosomal RNA (532 nucleotides) under unidentified oral bacterium AP60-49. RNAcentral's name for it is "bacterial SSU rRNA". It matches the Rfam family "Bacterial small subunit ribosomal RNA", at positions 8 to 521 of the family's 1533-position model. The record is from RNAcentral.
AGAGUUUGAUCCUGGCUCAGGACGAACGCUGGCGGCGUGCCUAAUACAUGCAAGUCGAACGAGAGCGACCGGUGCUUGCACUGGUCAAUCUAGUGGCGAACGGGUGAGUAACACGUGGGUAACCUGCCCAUCAGAGGGGGAUAACAUUCGGAAACGGAUGCUAAAACCGCAUAGGUCUUCGAACCGCAUGGUUUGAAGAGGAAAAGAGGCGCAAGCUUCUGCUGAUGGAUGGACCCGCGGUGCAUUAGCUAGUUGGUGAGGUAACGGCUCACCAAGGCCGUGAUGCAUAGCCGACCUGAGAGGGUGAUCGGCCACAUUGGGACUGAGACACGGCCCAAACUCCUACGGGGGGCAGCAGUAGGGAAUCUUCCGCAAUGGACGCAAGUCUGACGGAGCAACGCCGCGUGAGUGAAGAAGGUUUUCGGAUCGUAAAACUCUGUUGUUAGAGAAGAACAAGUGCUAGAGUAACUGUUAGCACCUUGACGGUAUCUAACCAGAAAGCCACGGCUAACUACGUGCCAGCAGCCGCGGU